CCGUCUUCCAUAUAUCUACUGACUUCAUAUAAAUGAAAGUGUACUAAGGACUCACUAAUCUGCACUACCAGUAACAAAGUAAUCCGACAAUCAGACUGGACCCGGUCAUGUUAGAAUCCAGAGGUAGGAAAUGAAAAUACAAUUGACUCCGCAUCGAUGCAUGACCUCGCCCGGAACGCGGCAAGAAAAAAACAAUGGAAGAAAAUAC
This 208-nucleotide long non-coding RNA is filed under the name Leguminivora glycinivorella. Its description in RNAcentral is "uncharacterized LOC125233442". The record is from RNAcentral. Lineage: Eukaryota; Metazoa; Arthropoda; Insecta; Lepidoptera; Tortricidae.